Molecule: ribosomal RNA, 478 nt
Filed under: uncultured bacterium
Lineage: Bacteria
Description: partial 16S ribosomal RNA
Rfam family: Bacterial small subunit ribosomal RNA
Source: RNAcentral
GAUGAACGCUGGCGGCGUGCCUAACACAUGCAGGUCGAACGGAGUCCAGCCUUUAAGACCUUCGGGUCAAAGAGGGGAAGACUGAGUGGCGGACGGGUGAGUAACACGUGGGCAACCUGGCUCAUAGAGGGGGAUAACAGAGAGAAAUUUCUGCUAAUACCGCAUAAGCACACACUGCCGCAUGGCAGAGGGUGAAAAGAGAAUCGCUAUGAGAUGGACCCGCGUCUGAUUAGCCAGUUGGCAGGGUAAGAGCCUACCAAAGCGACGAUCAGUAGCCGAUCUGAGAGGAUGAACGGCCACAUUGGGACUGAGACACGGCCCAAACUCCUACGGGAGGCAGCAGUGGGGGAUAUUGCACAAUGGGGGGAACCCUGAUGCAGCGACACCGCGUGAGUGAAGAAGUAUUUCGGUAUGUAAAGCUCUAUCAGCAGGGAAGAUAAUGACAGUGCCUGAAGAAGAAGCCCCGGCUAACUACGUG